CAGGGAAUCUUGCGCAAUGGGCGAAAGCCUGACGCAGCAACGCCGCGUGGGGGAUGAAGGCCUUCGGGUUGUAAACCCCUUUCAGGAGGGAAGAAAUUGACGGUACCUCCAGAAGAAGCACCGGCCAACUACGUGCCAGCAGCCGCGGUAAUACGUAGGGUGCAAGCGUUAUCCGGAAUCACUGGGCGUAAAGGGCACGUAGGCGGCCUAAUAAGUCCGAUGUUAAAGCGUGGGGCUCAACCCCAUCACGGCGUUGGAUACUGUUAGGCUUGACGACUGGAGAGGUGAGUAGAAUUACCAGUGUAGCGGUGGAAUGCGUAGAUACUGGUAGGAAUACCCAUUGCGAAGGCAGCUCACUGGACAGACCGUGACGCUGAGGUGCGAAAGUGUGGGGAGCAAACCGGAUUAGAUACCCGUGUAGUCC
This 424-nucleotide ribosomal RNA is filed under the name uncultured prokaryote. RNAcentral describes it as "bacterial SSU rRNA". It matches the Rfam family "Bacterial small subunit ribosomal RNA", at positions 355 to 796 of the family's 1533-position model. The record is from RNAcentral.